Molecule: ribosomal RNA, 265 nt
Filed under: uncultured bacterium
Lineage: Bacteria
Description: partial 16S ribosomal RNA
Rfam family: Bacterial small subunit ribosomal RNA
Source: RNAcentral
GUGUCCUACGGGAGGCAGCAGUGAGGAAUAUUGGUCAAUGGGCGCGAGCCUGAACCAGCCAAGUAGCGUGAAGGAUGACUGCCCUACGGGUUGUAAACUUCUUUUAUAAAGGAAUAAAGUGAGGCACGUGUGCCUUUUUGUAUGUACUUUAUGAAUAAGGAUCGGCUAACUCCGUGCCAGCAGCGGCGGUAAUACGGAGGAUCCGGGCGUUAUCCGGAUUUAUUGGGUUUAAAGGGGGCGUAGGUGGGUUGUUAAGUCAGUUGUG